Anguilla rostrata (American eel) is the source of this 1811-nucleotide long non-coding RNA. RefSeq lists it as uncharacterized. The transcript is spliced from 4 exons. The record is from RefSeq and is a predicted model, not a curated record. Lineage: Eukaryota; Metazoa; Chordata; Actinopteri; Anguilliformes; Anguillidae.
UUCCUUUUGCUGUCCGAUGGGGAAACCCCAAGAAACUGGACAAAGCUGGCCAUCGGAGAGUGAAGAAAUGCCGUGUAACGUAUGUUUUAAUGGCACGGGUUGCUAAAAUUAGAGAUUAGCGGGAAAGGCGGAUCACCGGCUUUCAUAAAACAGUCACUAAUGUGACGCCUAUGGGCAGUUUUCACUCCACCCAGAAAAUGCAAAGUCGGAGAAAACUUUCUUCCUCCUUUGAACUCUUCUGCCCAGAGUUGUGUAGUUGUGCGAGCAACGCAGCUAUAACACAUCUUAUCUGUUUAGAAGAAAAAAGUGUGCGAUAUAUCUCGCGCGGGAGAAAGCAGAAGAAGAAGUUGGCGAAAGCGUGAAGGCAAUCGACAUGCCAGGGCGAAUCUAAGUUUUUCGUGUAACUUUCACAAGCUGUCCUGCAUCAUGAGGCGACCACAGUCAGUCGAAACGGUGUCUUUAAAGACACUUCUCGUUAUGCUCGUAUUUUUGAAGGUCUCAAAGGAGGUGCUAGGCUGCACUGGAUGUACAUUUAAUAAAACAAUAUCAACAUCUGAAAUAAUCAUAUCUGGGGCAAGCAAGUGUACAGUGAGCUCUUCGGUGGUACUCCAAAAUACUCCAAAUGGCAAUGACCUCCAUGUGUCAGGACUAGUGCCUGGAAGAUCAUACAACUUAACGUUGAUGUGUUCUACCGAAUGCUGCAUACAGUUUACAACAAAACCUGAUGUCAUCAGUGGUCUCACCUUCUCUCAAAUCAACACGUCAUCUAUGCGUCUGAGCUGGACUGCACCUCAAGGAAAUAGCUCAUUUUAUAGAGUAGGGUGGAAUAACAGCGCUGUAUCUAUGAAUAAAACCACCAGUGAAACGUCUUUGAUCAUAACCGAUCUGACCGCUGGAGCUCAGUACACCUUUUAUAUUGUUGCGGUCGCUGAAGACACGCUUUCUGAGGGAGGCUCUGUCAAUGAGACGCAGUACACAAGUAAGUGUUCCACCGUCAUAACAAUUAUAGCCUGUUGAAAAUAUCAAUCACUCUUAUUUCUCUACAGUAUUGUUCCAGUUGUACUAGUUGUAGUCAAGAGAGCAUCAUCGUCUUAUCUGUUAUUUAGGAAAGUCUUUCAUCUUCCUGUUCCCAACCUACAUGUUGUUUGUCUAUUUGUAUAGUACAUUUUGUCUGUUAUGGUCAAUACUGAAAAAAUGUCCCCACAAACUGGUGAAUUUUUUAUCUUGCAUUGCUGUGAAACUAUUUAACAUUCAUUACAAGCAUUUUGGUGAAAUUACUUGAUUGACUGUGAGGAUUGUGACAAUUAUGUUGGGAAUGACUUUGCUUUGAUCAUAGCUCACAUUAGCCAUUGUGGCACACUCUGGUGAAGCAAAGUUACUGAUGAGAGUCAGUACACCAUGGUUCUAGUAACACUCUAGUCACUUUAUCACAGAUGCUAUAGACCAAAAGAAUACUCAACUCCAUAUUUUUAGCAUUGCAAUUUCUGUCUACCAACUGUUAAAACCAGGAUGUUUCAACAUGAUGUUACAUUAUAUCAUGAGCAUUUAGUCAACACUCUUAUCUGGAGUGACUUUUUAAGACAACCUUUACUCUUGUUUCACAUAGUAUACAUUUAUCCAGUAGGAUAUACUGAGGCAAUUCAGGUGAAGUGCCUUUCUCAAAGGUACAAUGGCAGUGUCCUACCUGGGAAGUAAAUCUGCGACCGUUGGGUUGCAAGCCCAGUUCCCUAACCGCUACACCACGCUGCUGCUUCAGUGUGUGGAGUUAACAUUCACUGCGGGCUAUGCAGUCCUGUGCUAUCAUAUAGGAC